Non-coding RNA from Poecilia reticulata (guppy), 1230 nucleotides. The record is from RefSeq and is a predicted model, not a curated record. NCBI's taxonomy places the organism in Eukaryota, Metazoa, Chordata, Actinopteri, Cyprinodontiformes, Poeciliidae.
CCUCAUUAAUUCGACUACAAUCCCAUAAAUGUGGCAUUUUUCAGCGUGGUUUUAAAUCACGGCUGCUUCCCUCCUUUCUCCCACAUGGAUCCGAGGCCCCGGAGGUGUGGAGGGAGCGAUGCUAAUCACGAUAAGUGAUUUGAGCCCACUCAUGCAUUUCCUCGAGGUAAGCCUCUUUGAUGUCCUUUGCUUCGGCUGCCUCCCUACUUAUGUUCUGCUACGCUUGCAUUCUCAUAAAGACACCACUUACUGGUCUAAUAAUGCUGCUUUCACUUUCAGGGAGAUCGGAGCCUCUUUUUUUUUUUUUCCCUGCAGUAAUUGGUAUUUUACGGAGAAUUGGGUUGUAUUAGGGAAAAGCCACAUUCGAGAUGUGGCUUUAAACUUGGGGUUUUAAACGGUCCCAGAGCAGUUGUGGGAACAGAAGAGGAUGGGGACAAAUGAGAGAUAUCAGCCACCAGGUGGCCACACUAAUGGUUACUCUGUCUCCUCUUCCUUAAAUCCCCUGUUGUUCCCUUCGUUUAUAAAGCUCAGUUUCAAAAAGACGCUGGAGGGCAUCCGUUUGAUGUGGUAAAGGUGGAUGGUUGGAGACUGCUGACUUUGCACAGUACUCUAAAGACAGAGUAUGUAUGAAGGAGGAAAGGAUGGCGAGGAGUGAAAGCACUACCUCUCUCUUUCUUGGAAACGGGCCAAGGCAAGGCCUUAAAUGAUGCAGCGGUGCCAGGUGCCAGAGUUUUUAGAGCUACCUGCUCUACAUUUACAGUGCCAGUGAAAAGUUUCCACACACCCUUCAAUGGGUAUGCAUAUCACACUAAUUCGGGGCUUUGAGUAAAAAGCAUUUGAACCAUUUUCUUUUGAAGGUGAAAUGAUAAAAAGACAGGUAUUUGAUUUUAAAAGCAAGAAUUGGUUGCACAAACUGAAUUUACAGUGCAUUUCCUGCAAUUCAUACAGGGUCAGAAUUACACCAACAUUAUUAAUAUUCCUUUUUUUUUUAGAACCGCAUAUACUUGCAGGGUUUUGGACGGCUGUUGCCUCACGUCAGGAAUCAUUGGGCGAGAAGCCAGGAACCCCAGGCACCUUGAGACCCAACUAAAGCAUCCAGUAAGAUCCCAGGCCAGGAGUUUAAAGCAGAACCUAUGGCCUUCAAGAGAACAGGGAAAUGUAUCCCGCAGACGAAAAUAUUUCCCUUUGGUGCCUUCAGUGCAUUUACUGUUUCUUUUAUCUCAGUGCUUU